UGCUCCCUGAUGUUAGCGGCGGACGGGUGAGUAACACGUGGGUAACCUGCCUGUAAGACUGGGAUAACUCCGGGAAACCGGGGCUAAUACCGGAUGGUUGUUUGAACCGCAUGGUUCAAACAUAAAAGGUGGCUUCGGCUACCACUUACAGAUGGACCCGCGGCGCAUUAGCUAGUUGGUGAGGUAACGGCUCACCAAGGCAACGAUGCGUAGCCGACCUGAGAGGGUGAUCGGCCACACUGGGACUGAGACACGGCCCAGACUCCUACGGGAGGCAGCAGUAGGGAAUCUUCCGCAAUGGACGAAAGUCUGACGGAGCAACGCCGCGUGAGUGAUGAAGGUUUUCGGAUCGUAAAGCUCUGUUGUUAGGGAAGAACAAGUACCGUUCGAAUAGGGCGGUACCUUGACGGUACCUAACCAGAAAGCCACGGCUAACUACGUGCCAGCAGCCGCGGUAAUACGUAGGUGGCAAGCGUUGUCCGGAAUUAUUGGGCGUAAAGGGCUCGCAGGCGGUUUCUUAAGUCUGAUGUGAAAGCCCCCGGCUCAACCGGGGAGGGUCAUUGGAAACUGGGGAACUUGAGUGCAGAAGAGGAGAGUGGAAUUCCACGUGUAGCGGUGAAAUGCGUAGAGAUGUGGAGGAACACCAGUGGCGAAGGCGACUCUCUGGUCUGUAACUGACGCUGAGGAGCGAAAGCGUGGGGAGCGAACAGGAUUAGAUACCCUGGUAGUCCACGCCGUAAA
Molecule: ribosomal RNA, 741 nt
Filed under: Bacillus subtilis
Lineage: Bacteria; Bacillati; Bacillota; Bacilli; Caryophanales; Bacillaceae
Description: bacterial SSU rRNA
Rfam family: Bacterial small subunit ribosomal RNA
Source: RNAcentral